This 279-nucleotide long non-coding RNA is filed under the name Capsicum annuum. RNAcentral's name for it is "long non-coding RNA (CANN_LNC015085)". Lineage: Eukaryota; Viridiplantae; Streptophyta; Magnoliopsida; Solanales; Solanaceae. The record is from RNAcentral.
GUUGAUGAGCAGCCUGUUGCUAUCUUUACGAUAGACAAAGUUUUGAUGCCGAAGGAGUUGUUUAAGGCUGCAGAGGCGGAUGCUCCUGCACCUGCACCUGCAGCGGCACCAGAGGCUGAUGCAGAGUCACCUAAAUCAGCUAAGAAGAAGAAACAUAAGGCGCCUGUGGCAGCUGAUACACCAGCAGACUCACCGGCUGAUGGACCAACCGAUGAUUUUGCAGAUUCUACGGCUGAUGAUGAUAAUGGUGGCGGGUUUAGGUACAGUGGUGGGACUGUU